This 521-nucleotide ribosomal RNA is filed under the name uncultured bacterium. RNAcentral describes it as "bacterial SSU rRNA". It matches the Rfam family "Bacterial small subunit ribosomal RNA", at positions 28 to 525 of the family's 1533-position model. The record is from RNAcentral.
GACGAACGCUGGCGGCGUGCCUAAUACAUGCAAGUCGAACGCGUCUACGUUAAUGAAAUCAAUGUGCUUGCACGGCGAUGGAUUUAACAUUAGACGAGUGGCGAACUGGUGAGUAACACGUGGGUAACCUGCCCUCAAGCAGGGGAUAACACUUGGAAACAGGUGCUAAUACCGUAUAACAACAAAAACCGCAUGGUUUUUGUUUGAAAGAUGGUUUCGGCUAUCACUUGAGGAUGGACCCGCGGCGUAUUAGCUAGUUGGUGAGGUAAUGGCUCACCAAGGCAAUGAUACGUAGCCGACCUGAGAGGGUAAUCGGCCACAUUGGGACUGAGACACGGCCCAAACUCCUACGGGAGGCAGCAGUAGGGAAUCUUCCACAAUGGACGAAAGUCUGAUGGAGCAACGCCGCGUGAGGGAUGACGGCCUUCGGGUUGUAAACCUCUUUUAGCAGGGAAGAAGCGAAAGUGACGGUACCUGCAGAAAAAGCACCGGCUAACUACGUGCCAGCCGCCGCAGUAAAA